GCCGGGUGUGGUGGUGCACACCUGUAAUCCCAGUGGCUCAGGAGGCUGAGACAGGAGGAUUAUGAUAUGAGUUCAAAGCCAGCCUCAGCAAAAGCGCUUAAGCAACUCAGUGAGAUCCUGUGUCUA
Molecule: small RNA, 126 nt
Filed under: Marmota monax (woodchuck)
Lineage: Eukaryota; Metazoa; Chordata; Mammalia; Rodentia; Sciuridae
Source: RNAcentral